CGGCGAGCCGCUGCCUGCACGCCCGCCGGGGCCCGCCGCGGAACUCGGGCUUUGAGGCGCUUUUAUGGUUUAUUUUCUGCUUCUGUAAAUAAAAUCCCCAACAGACACCGUCCAGCAGACGGGCGUGGCCAGGGCGUACGCGUCCCGGUUUUCGUUUCCAGGCAGCGCCUCGGGAUUCACGAUGUGAAUCAUGCUGCUGUUUGACAUGUAAACAGCAGUAAAAGCCGCUCUCUUUCUAAACACUGGGAGUUUAAAAGUGGCUGAACCUGAUGGGCCAGUGCACCGGGAUCCCCCGCAGGGGUCCGCCUUUUGGAGGAUCUUUGCCACCGGGAGCAGCUUCCUGGGAAACCCCCGCGGGGAGCCGCGUGUGACCCGGGAUGGGCGGAGAGGGAUUCACCUGUCCUGUGCCUUGGCCAUGCCCCAGCAAGCCCCGAUGCCGGGAUGUGUCGUAAUUUUAGAGUUCGCUAAUGAGCUUGCCUGUACGCCCUGCGCACCCUGUGUGCCUGGGGAUUGGCAGUUCAGGCUGGUAAUCCUGCUAACCUGGCCUUGGCAGGCGGGGAUGGCUCCUUUCAGUGUUCUGGGAUUGAGAUCUGGCUUCUUGCUGUGCACAGGGAAUGGCCGUGGAUGAGUAAAAUGAGGGAGAAAAUGAUCUUUGCUAACCCUUUUCCAUUCUGCCUUGGUGGUGCUUGUCUGCAUGCUUCCCUCUGCUAGCUCAGGUGGAUCCAACGUUUGCUGGAUACUCCGAGUGCAGCAGACAGCUGAGAUGUGCAUUGUUGGAAUCCAGAGGGUUUUGUAAUUUGGCAACCGCUCGCUGAAAGCCCUGCAGAUACAAAACAACACUUAUUUCAAGUCUUGAGAAACAUCUCCUACUAAGUAGAAGAAAAAAGCAUUUAGUGGGAUCCUCAAGCUGUAUGCAAAAUGCAAGGAGACGUGCCUGGAAAUGCAUUAUCCAAGGGACACAGAAACAGCUUUUUGACAGGCUGCUCUUCCUGCUAACACCUGGUAAAUGCAGAGACCUGGCUCCAUGCAGCAGAGCUUGCAGCAGUGACAAGCUGUUAUCCCAAGGAAAACUGCUUGUGCCUGUGGCCUGGGUUAACCUGCUGGCAGUGAUACGUGCCUGGGCAGGGGCAGCUGUUUCACACAGCUCAGCAUGGACGUGUUGCCACUCCCAGCCACUUUUAGGACACAGUGUGGAUGGCAGUAAUUCAUGGUCCCUGUACAGUCCUGUGGGGUUUCUGGGACAACAAAGACCGAGGAACCUCUGACUUGCUCUCUGUGGAUCUGUCUUAAGGAGAGGUAGCCACAGUACCAGUUUUGAACCAAGGUUCAAAAUACAGGCCUGUCAGCAGUCUCCUGAUCCUGAGAGACCCUUCACUAAUACUUGUAAGGAUUGUGUACUCUUAUAUUCACCUUCUGCUCUGGGACAGUUUGUGCCAAUGAGAUCUGGGGACAAACAUUGCUGAUGGAGACUGGGAGUAGGUUGGAGCUGAGCUUUCCAGCAUCCAGUAGGAGGGUAUAAAAUUAACUACUCCAUUUGGGCAGAUUAAAAACAAAUCUUUCAUGCAUGAAUUCUGCCUUUGCGAAAAUGUCUGUUAGUUCUGAUUGUUGGCACAAGUAUUACCAUAGUAUCAGUCUAAUCUCAUAUGACAUAUUUAAGGAUUUGCAGCAGAAGGGUGGAGUUACCAGUGCAAAUUUCUUGGCUGAUUUAUCUCUGGUGACAAUUGUCCUGCUCUGCUUUAUAUCAGCUUUUCAGAACAAAUCAAGGGGUUUUGAGUAUAAAGCAACAUUUCUUUAGAUUUCAAAUAAUAUUUUUUUAAAAGCAAAGCGAGUAGAAACAGAAGUAGAGACUCUAACAGAACCAGAGUACAUGUAGUAUGUAUCCCUUGUAAAUAUUUCAGUGCUAAGGCAACUAAGCAGUGACACUUUGCACACAAAGGGCCUGAGAAAUGUAAAGGUACACGGCCAACAAAACAUUCGGAUCCUCCCUGCAACACUAGAGUCUUUUAGUGCAAAUGACUGUGUUCAAUUAAGUCACACAAGGAACAUUUCUUCAGGCUCAAGACAAAGUGUGUACUUGCAUGUCUUAGAGAGGAUCCUGCACUGUCCACAAUGAAGUUUUACUGAUUUAUAACAGCAAAUAAACAUCCUGUCAUUUUAAGAAAUAUCA
RNAcentral lists this long non-coding RNA (2167 nucleotides) under Cyanistes caeruleus (blue tit). RNAcentral describes it as "lncRNA (ENSCCEG00000011298.1)". Lineage: Eukaryota; Metazoa; Chordata; Aves; Passeriformes; Paridae. The record is from RNAcentral.